This 74-nucleotide transfer RNA is filed under the name Penicillium paxilli ATCC 26601. RNAcentral describes it as "tRNA-Trp (CCA) (tRNA-Trp-CCA-1-1)". It matches the Rfam family "tRNA". From Rfam's summary of the family: Transfer RNA (tRNA) molecules are approximately 80 nucleotides in length. Their secondary structure includes four short double-helical elements and three loops (D, anti-codon, and T loops). The record is from RNAcentral. Lineage: Eukaryota; Fungi; Ascomycota; Eurotiomycetes; Eurotiales; Aspergillaceae.
GGAGCUGUGGCGCAACGGUAGCGCGUCUGAUUCCAGCCCACACAUAGUUAAGUGUUCGAAUCACUUCAGCUUCA